UACGUAGGGGGCGAGCGUUGUUCGGAAUUACUGGGCGUAAAGCGUGCGUAGGCGGUUGGUUAAGUCUGUCGUGAAAGCCCUGGGCUCAACCUGGGAAUGGCGAUGGAUACUGGCCAGCUAGAGUGUGAUAGAGGAUGGCGGAAUUCCCGGUGUAGCGGUGAAAUGCGUAGAGAUCGGGAGGAACAUCCGUGGCGAAGGCGGCCAUCUGGAUCAACACUGACGCUGAGGCACGAAAGCGUGGGGAGCAAACAGG
Molecule: ribosomal RNA, 253 nt
Filed under: uncultured bacterium
Lineage: Bacteria
Description: partial 16S ribosomal RNA
Rfam family: Bacterial small subunit ribosomal RNA
Source: RNAcentral